RNAcentral lists this ribosomal RNA (1519 nucleotides) under marine metagenome. Its description in RNAcentral is "bacterial LSU rRNA". It matches the Rfam family "Bacterial large subunit ribosomal RNA", at positions 1422 to 2925 of the family's 2925-position model. The record is from RNAcentral.
ACAACAGGUUAAUAUUCCUGUGCUGCUAUCUUGACGUUUGAGCUUGGGAUGACGGGGACACAAGAAUUAGCAAACCUAGUAGACAUGGUUUGUUCAAGCUGGAGAUAACGCUCUAGGCAAAUCCGGAGCAAUAUGGUAUCGAAGGCGAGUACGUUGGCUCUUGGCCUAGAAGUAAUUGGAGUGUCCUCCAAGAAAUAAUCUCGUUAGCGAGUUAAUUUGGCAACCGUACUAAAACUGACACAGGUAGGCAGGGAGAGAAUCCCAAGGUGCUCGAGAGAACCCUCGUUAAGGAAUUCGGCAAAGAUACUCCGUAACUUCGGGAUAAGGAGUGCCUUUUUAGCUUCGGUUAAAAAGGUCGCAGUGAAGAAGGUUUGGGCGACUGUUUACUAAAAACACAGGUCUCUGCUAAAAUGUAUAAUUGACGUAUAGAGACUGACGCGUGCUCGAUGCCAGAAAGUUAAGGGGAUAGGUUAUUUCCUUCGGGAGAGAAGCUUGGAACUGAAGCUCUGGUGAAUGGCGGCUCUAACUAUGAGAGUCCUAAGGUAGCGAAGUUCCUUGUCGGGUAAUUUCCGACGCGCAUGAAUCGCGUAACGACCUGGACACUGUCUCAACGAGGGACUCGGCGAAAUUGUAGUUGUGGUGAAGAUGCCACAUACCCGCGGAAAGACGGAAAGACCCCGUGAACCUUUACUGUAGCUUAUUAUUGAAUUUUGAUGCAGUAUGUGUAGGAUAGGUGGGAGACUAUGAAGUCCCGACGUAAGUUUGGAUGGAGUCAUUGGUGAAAUACCACUCUUAUUAUGUUAAAAUUCUAAUGGAAUUCCGUGAAUCCGGGUUCUUGACAGUGGUAAGUGGGCAGUUUGACUGGGGCGGUCUCCUCCGAAAAAGUAACGGAGGAGUCCAAAGGCUUCCUCAAUACGGUUGGCAACCGUAUGUAGAGUGUAAAGGCAUAAGGAAGCUUAACUGCGAGACCUAUAAGUCGAGCAGGUGUGAAAGCAGGGCUUAGUGAUCCGGCGGUUUCUGAGUGGAAAGGCCGUCGCUCAACAGAUAAAAGGUACUCCGGGGAUAACAGGCUGAUCUCCCCCAAGAGUCCAUAUCGACGGGGAGGUUUGGCACCUCGAUGUCGGCUCAUCGCAUCCUGGGGCUGAAAGCGGUCCCAAGGGUUCUGGAGUUCACAGAUUAAAGCGGUACGCGAGCUGGGUUUAGACCGUCGUGAGACAGGUCGGUCCCUAUCUUCCGUGGGCGUACGAUAUUUGAGAAAAUCUGCCUCUAGUACGAGAGGAUCGAGGUGGACGAACCUAUGGUGAAUCAGUUGUUGUGCUAACAGCAUGGCUGAGUAGCUAAGUUCGGAAAGGAUAAACGCUGAAAGCAUAUAAGCGUGAAGCCUGCUUUAAGACUAGAUAUCGUUCUCUAAUUUAUUAGGGUGAAGACAUCUUAAAGACUAUGAGAUUGAUAGGCCAGGUGUGUAAGUCCGGUAACGGAUUCAGCUAACUGGUACUAAUUUGUCGAGAGUUUUAAUCAC